This is a long non-coding RNA of Prosopis cineraria, 1558 nucleotides long. RefSeq lists it as uncharacterized. The record is from RefSeq and is a predicted model, not a curated record. NCBI's taxonomy places the organism in Eukaryota, Viridiplantae, Streptophyta, Magnoliopsida, Fabales, Fabaceae. The transcript has 2 exons.
UUCACAAAUUCCUUGAUAUGAUUCUCCCCAAUAAAUAUCUGUGCAUCCAUUUCACCAAUUUAUUCCCUUUUUUUAAGUUUCCGAAACUGUUAUUAAUUUUAUGAUUUUAACAUUACAGAUCUGAAUCAUGUGUCUUUAAUUAAUUCCAUAUAGAAUUUCAGUGGUGCUUUUAAUCCAUUCAAGAAACUACUAGUAAUGAGUGGAGUCUUAAAAAGUUUAACAUAUAAUGAAUUAAAAUAUUUUUUCUCAUUAUUGAAUUGUAAUAUAUAAUAUGAAUCAUGCCCAGUGAUCAUUGAUCUUUGGAUUUAACAGAGUUCCAGCUAGGAAAGAAAUGAAAAAAAAAAAUACUUAUUUUCUAGUCAAUACGCAAGUCAACCAAGCUACAAUAACUUAUGAAUUUCCUAUUACUAUAUAUAAUUAAUAAAGCUCAUUAAUUCUUACACUUUAGGAGAACAAAGAGCAUAACUAGUUUUAACUUCUUCGGAUUCAUGAUAUCUGGAAAUUCUAUUACUUUCUGAGUGAAGCGAUCAAAAAGCUCAUCAACAAUUCCACGUCCGAAGUGCUGCUCAAUCAGAUCUCCCAAGAAAGCUCGUAACAUGGAGACAAAGUUGGAGGCUUUUGGGGUUGAAUAAAAUUCUUCAACUUUCAGUGUCUCAAUCCGCUCAAUACUGAGACUCUCAUUCUUCUCCAGGAUUUCCUUCAGAUUCUUUGCAGGUGAAUAAAAGAGAGGCAAAUUGAGUGAGUCAAUCUUUUUCUUCACCCACUCGUCCCUGCAUCAUCAUCCAUUGCAUGACAUGAAGAUUAGAGAAGUAAUUCAGACGGUUAAAGGCUUCUCAAUUACCACUCUAGCCAUGUCCAUGAGAGUAGAUCCAAGAAGCUCAUAAGCCCUAGAAGGAUGUAUAUCAGAUUCGAGAAUCACAUCAGGCACAGUAGCGAUCUGAAGCGCCAUUAGCCCAUUGCUCACAAGCUCUUGCGCUCUAGCAUGCAAAAAAUUCUCCAAGUCAGCUCUGUACUGUGCUAAAUACGCAUCUUCUACUUCCUUAGGAGCAUUUACGUGAUGACUCCUUCCUUUGUUAAAUGCACUGCAGCUUCUAUCUGCAAUCUCUUUAGGAACCCUAGAAAGCCAAUGAAGUGUUGAAGAUGAGUGGACAAAAUGGAGAGUUUUCUUUGGGAAUAAGCGUCCAAGGAAAGAGCCAGGAACCCCAGAAGCGAAGUAGUUUCUAUUUGGAGGAAGCUGCUUGAAGAAUGUGUUGAAGUUAUUUGAAACUUGGUCGUUGAAGAAGACAUGGAAUUCUGGGAUUUGAUGAGCAGAAAGCUUCUGAGUUUUGUAAUAAUAUUAUUUUUCUAUCAAUUCUGUUAUGGUUUGCAUUGCAACAAUGGCAUUAGGCCCAGUGGAGCAGCCAAGGUCAGCAAUCCGAAUGACGUUUGUAGGUCCAAUGUAUGUCAUGGGAUCAAAGUUCUUGACUAUUGCUUCCUCAAUCAGUUUUUUGUUAGCUUCAAAAACUUCUCCCUGUAGAAAAAAGACACGCAAUAUAAUUAAAUGAUAAGUUUGAAAUCA